GGGUAGGUGGCAGAGUGGUCAAUUGCACCAGGCUGUAAACCUGGCCUCUCACGAGUUCGGGGGUUCGAAUCCCUCCCUACCCA
RNAcentral lists this transfer RNA (83 nucleotides) under Planctomycetaceae bacterium. RNAcentral's name for it is "tRNA-Tyr". It matches the Rfam family "tRNA". From Rfam's summary of the family: Transfer RNA (tRNA) molecules are approximately 80 nucleotides in length. Their secondary structure includes four short double-helical elements and three loops (D, anti-codon, and T loops). Lineage: Bacteria; Pseudomonadati; Planctomycetota; Planctomycetia; Planctomycetales; Planctomycetaceae. RNAcentral also lists the same sequence under 4 other names. The record is from RNAcentral.